CGCCAGACUCCUACGGGAGGCAGCAGUGGGGAAUAUUGCACAAUGGGGGAAACCCUGAUGCAGCAACGCCGCGUGAGUGAAGAAGUAUUUCGGUAUGUAAAGCUCUAUCAGCAGGGAAGAAAAUGACAGUACCUGACUAAGAAGCCCCGGCUAACUACGUGCCAGCAGCCGCGGUAAUACGUAGGGGGCAAGCGUUAUCCGGAUUUACUGGGUGUAAAGGGAGCGUAGACGGCUGCGCAAGUCAGAAGUGAAAGCCCGGGGCUCAACCGCGGGACUGCUCUUGGAACUGCGCGGCUGGAGUGCAGGAGGGGCAGGCGGAAUUCCUGGUGUAGCGGUGAAAUGCGUAGAUAUCAGGAGGAACACCGGUGGCGAAGGCGGCCUGCUGGACUGCGACUGACGUUGAGGCCCGAAAGCGUGGGGAGCAAACAGGAUUAGAUACCCGAGUAA
Molecule: ribosomal RNA, 447 nt
Filed under: uncultured bacterium
Lineage: Bacteria
Description: partial 16S ribosomal RNA
Rfam family: Bacterial small subunit ribosomal RNA
Source: RNAcentral